Molecule: ribosomal RNA, 253 nt
Filed under: uncultured bacterium
Lineage: Bacteria
Description: partial 16S ribosomal RNA
Rfam family: Bacterial small subunit ribosomal RNA
Source: RNAcentral
UACGUAGGGGGCAAGCGUUGUCCGGAAUCAUUGGGCGUAAAGAGCGCGUAGGCGGUCCGGUAAGUCCGCUCUGAAAGUCCGGGGCUCAACCCCGGGAGGCGGGCGGAUACUGUCGGGCUAGAGUCCGGAAGAGGCGAGUGGAAUUCCUGGUGUAGCGGUGAAAUGCGCAGAUAUCAGGAGGAACACCAAUGGCGAAGGCAGCUCGCUGGGACGGUACUGACGCUGAGGAGCGAAAGCGUGGGGAGCGAACAGG